AAACACCAAGGCCAAAAAAAAUAGAUGCAAACGACGAGGCAGAUACGUCAACAGCAGCAACACCAGCAACAAAUGGUGUUCAUUUUGAA
This 89-nucleotide small RNA is filed under the name uncultured eukaryote. Its description in RNAcentral is "partial transfer-messenger RNA". The record is from RNAcentral.